UAGCUGCAUGUUCCUCCAAGGCAAACCAUGC
This 31-nucleotide non-coding RNA is filed under the name Homo sapiens (human). Lineage: Eukaryota; Metazoa; Chordata; Mammalia; Primates; Hominidae. The record is from RNAcentral.